AGGAAUAUUGGUCAAUGGGGGCAACCCUGAACCAGCCAAGUCGCGUGAAGGAUGAAGGUCUUAUGGAUUGUAAACUUCUUUUAUACAGGAAUAAAUUGGGGGACGUGUCCCCUUUUGCAUGUACUGUAUGAAUAAGGAUCGGCUAACUCCGUGCCAGCAGCCGCGGUAAUACGGAGGAUCCGAGCGUUAUCCGGAUGUAUUGGGUUUAAAGGGUGCGCAGGCGGGAUGUUAAGUCGGCGGUGAAAUUUUGCAGCUCAACUGUAAAAGUGCCUUCGAUACUGGCCUCCUUGAGUGUGGAUGAAGUAGGCGGAAUUUGUGGUGUAGCGGUGAAAUGCUUAGAUAUCACGAGGAACUCCGAUUGCGCAGGCAGCUUACUAAGCCACAACUGACGCUCAUGCACGAAGGCGUGGGGAUCAAACA
RNAcentral lists this ribosomal RNA (420 nucleotides) under uncultured bacterium. RNAcentral describes it as "bacterial SSU rRNA". It matches the Rfam family "Bacterial small subunit ribosomal RNA", at positions 357 to 774 of the family's 1533-position model. The record is from RNAcentral.